GGAACUGAAGGGAAUGGAAAAGGAUAUACACAACAGAUUAAGUGCAAGAAAUUGGAAGUGGUCUGAUCCCUCUCGGACUUCCCGAAAACACUGCUAGCUACAGAAGGGUGACACCCGGCCUCCAGAACUGAGGCAGCUCUGGUCUUUCUUGUACACAAGUCACUAAAGCAGGAUGCCCUGAGGCAUGGUAUAUUGUUGAGACUGAGCAGAGGCUACAGCAAUGGAUGAAUGAACACCACACAACAAUCAACAUACAAAAGUGUUCCGUCCCAGUUGGAGAACACUUCAGCGGUCCAGGACAUCCAACCUCAGACCUUCGGAUGACCAUCCUCAAAGGCGGACUUCAGGACAGGCAACAAUGCAAAGUGGCUGAGCAGAGGCUGAUAGCCAAGUUCGGUAUGCAUGGGAAUGGCCUCAACCAGGACCUUGGGUUCAUGUCACACUACAGAUCACCCUACUGCACUACACACACACACACACACUCUCUCAUAGACUUAAACCCCUUUACACUCACACUCACACUCACACACAUACACGUACACACACUCUCUCUCAUAGACACUCAUACCCUACCCCCCACCACACACAAGUUUGUGGGGUGAAUUUAUACUUGCAAAAUUACAUUUUAUUUUGCUCAAUAAUUGCAUGAAUCCAUGUAAGAUUUUGUAAAUCUCAUUUUUAGAAGUAAAUCAGUUUCAACAUUGGGGCACAGACAGCCCCACACAUGGCACCUCACACCUUCAAUGCAUUAUCUGGAUCUACAUGGCACCUAUUGUUAAAGUUCACUUGAGAAUGGGAU
This is a long non-coding RNA of Hemiscyllium ocellatum (epaulette shark), 799 nucleotides long. RefSeq lists it as uncharacterized. The record is from RefSeq and is a predicted model, not a curated record. NCBI's taxonomy places the organism in Eukaryota, Metazoa, Chordata, Chondrichthyes, Orectolobiformes, Hemiscylliidae. The transcript is spliced from 3 exons.